Molecule: ribosomal RNA, 493 nt
Filed under: uncultured bacterium
Lineage: Bacteria
Description: partial 16S ribosomal RNA
Rfam family: Bacterial small subunit ribosomal RNA
Source: RNAcentral
AGUGAACGCUGGCGGUAGGCCUAACACAUGCAAGUCGAACGGCAGCACAGUAAGAGCUUGCUCUUACGGGUGGCGAGUGGCGGACGGGUGAGGAAUACAUCGGAAUCUACUUUUUCGUGGGGGAUAACGUAGGGAAACUUACGCUAAUACCGCAUACGACCUACGGGUGAAAGCAGGGGAUCUUCGGACCUUGCGCGAUUGAAUGAGCCGAUGUCGGAUUAGCUAGUUGGCGGGGUAAAGGCCCACCAAGGCGACGAUCCGUAGCUGGUCUGAGAGGAUGGAACAGCCACAUGGGAACGGAGCCAGGGCCGAGACCCCUGGGGGGGGGACCAGGGGGGAAUUUUGAACAAUGGGGGAAGGCUUGACCCGGCAAUCCGGGGGGGUGAAGGAGGGCGUUGGGGUGCUAAAGCCGUUUUGUGGGGAAAAAAAAAAAGCGGGUUAAUCCCCGGCUGUUAUGACGGUACCAAAAAAAUAAGCCCCGGCUAACUUCGUG